GACGAACGCUGGCGGCGUGCUUAACACAUGCAAGUCGAACGGAAAGGCCCUGCUCUUGUUGGUUGCUCGAGUGGCGAACGGGUGAGUAACACGUGAGUAAACUGCCCUUGACUUUGGGAUAACAUCAGGAAACUGGGGCUAAUACCGGAUAGGAUCUCCUGCAGCAUGGUGGUGGAUGGAAAGAUUCGGCGUUUGUGGAUGGACUAGCGGCUUAUCAGCUUGUUUGGGGGGUAGUUGCUUACCAAGGGUUUGAAGGGUAGCCUGCCUGAGAGGUUGAACGGGCACAAUGGGACUGAGGUAGGGACCAGACUGCUACGGGACGCAGGAGUGGAGAGUAUGGCGGAGUGGGGGGAAGUGUGAUGCGGAAGUGUCGGGUGCGGGAUGACGGGUUUCGGGGGGUGAACAGAUGUGGACUGUGACGUGGAGGUAGUGACGGUAAUGAGUAAGAAAGCACCGGCUAACUACGUG
RNAcentral lists this ribosomal RNA (468 nucleotides) under uncultured bacterium. RNAcentral describes it as "partial 16S ribosomal RNA". It matches the Rfam family "Bacterial small subunit ribosomal RNA", at positions 28 to 507 of the family's 1533-position model. The record is from RNAcentral.